Molecule: ribosomal RNA, 1005 nt
Filed under: Streptococcus thermophilus
Lineage: Bacteria; Bacillati; Bacillota; Bacilli; Lactobacillales; Streptococcaceae
Description: bacterial SSU rRNA
Rfam family: Bacterial small subunit ribosomal RNA
Source: RNAcentral
UGCAAGUAGAACGCUGAAGAGAGGAGCUUGCUCUUCUUGGAUGAGUUGCGAACGGGUGAGUAACGCGUAGGUAACCUGCCUUGUAGCGGGGGAUAACUAUUGGAAACGAUAGCUAAUACCGCAUAACAAUGGAUGACACAUGUCAUUUAUUUGAAAGGGGCAAUUGCUCCACUACAAGAUGGACCUGCGUUGUAUUAGCUAGUAGGUGAGGUAAUGGCUCACCUAGGCGACGAUACAUAGCCGACCUGAGAGGGUGAUCGGCCACACUGGGACUGAGACACGGCCCAGACUCCUACGGGAGGCAGCAGUAGGGAAUCUUCGGCAAUGGGGGCAACCCUGACCGAGCAACGCCGCGUGAGUGAAGAAGGUUUUCGGAUCGUAAAGCUCUGUUGUAAGUCAAGAACGGGUGUGAGAGUGGAAAGUUCACACUGUGACGGUAGCUUACCAGAAAGGGACGGCUAACUACGUGCCAGCAGCCGCGGUAAUACGUAGGUCCCGAGCGUUGUCCGGAUUUAUUGGGCGUAAAGCGAGCGCAGGCGGUUUGAUAAGUCUGAAGUUAAAGGCUGUGGCUCAACCAUAGUUCGCUUUGGAAACUGUCAAACUUGAGUGCAGAAGGGGAGAGUGGAAUUCCAUGUGUAGCGGUGAAAUGCGUAGAUAUAUGGAGGAACACCGGUGGCGAAAGCGGCUCUCUGGUCUGUAACUGACGCUGAGGCUCGAAAGCGUGGGGAGCGAACAGGAUUAGAUACCCUGGUAGUCCACGCCGUAAACGAUGAGUGCUAGGUGUUGGAUCCUUUCCGGGAUUCAGUGCCGCAGCUAACGCAUUAAGCACUCCGCCUGGGGAGUACGACCGCAAGGUUGAAACUCAAAGGAAUUGACGGGGGCCCUGCACAAGCGGUGGAGCAUGUGGUUUAAUUCGAAGCAACGCGAAGAACCUUACCAGGUCUUGACAUCCCGAUGCUAUUUCUAGAGAUAGAAAGUUACUUCGGUACAUCGGUGACAGGUGGG